This 31-nucleotide non-coding RNA is filed under the name Mus musculus (house mouse). The record is from RNAcentral. Lineage: Eukaryota; Metazoa; Chordata; Mammalia; Rodentia; Muridae.
UGCUCAGGGUUUACACAGGCCCUCUCUCCCU